AGACAACUUGCAACAGCCACGAUGAUGUGGUUUACAUGGACAUCGAUCCACUGGAAGCUAGACUAAGACAAAAAUCACAUUUCUGUGGUCAGGAAAACAUAACCACUGCUGAGCAGGAAAUGCCAGAAGGUUCUAACAUACUCUGCCAUUUUGCUGGAUGCUACAUGUGAACAUAGAGACACUAAGCAUUCAUCACUUAAGCAGAAAAGAUACAGAGCAAAGAUUCAAGUCCUGAAUCUACAAAGAGGGAAAGAGACCUCUGCUAAACAAAAGGCAGAAAACAAAACAAGGGUACAGAAUAUGCUGCUGCUAGCAUUUGGAAAGGAAAAAAACCAAACCCCAGAAAACCAC
Passer domesticus (house sparrow) is the source of this 351-nucleotide long non-coding RNA. RefSeq lists it as uncharacterized. The transcript has 3 exons. The record is from RefSeq and is a predicted model, not a curated record. Lineage: Eukaryota; Metazoa; Chordata; Aves; Passeriformes; Passeridae.